GACGAACGCUGGCGGCGUGCUUAACACAUGCAAGUCGAACGGAAAGGCCCUGCUUUUGUGGGGUGCUCGAGUGGCGAACGGGUGAGUAACACGUGAGUAACCUGCCCUUGACUUUGGGAUAACUUCAGGAAACUGGGGCUAAUACCGGAUAGGAGCUCCUGCUGCAUGGUGGGGGUUGGAAAGUUUCGGCGGUUGGGGGUGGACUCGCGGCUUAUCAGCUUGUUGGUGGGGUAGUGGCUUACCAAGGCUUUGACGGGAAGCCGGCCUGAGAGGGUGACCGGCCACAUUGGGACUGAGAUACGGCCCAGACUCCUCCGGGAGGCAGCAGUGGGGAAUAUUGCACAAUGGGCGGAAGCCUGAUGCAGCAACGCCGCGUGCGGGAUGACGGCCUUCGGGUUGUAAACCGCUUUCGCCUGUGACGAAGCGUGAGUGACGGUAAUGGGUAAAGAAGCACCGGCUAACUACGUG
This 468-nucleotide ribosomal RNA is filed under the name uncultured bacterium. Its description in RNAcentral is "partial 16S ribosomal RNA". It matches the Rfam family "Bacterial small subunit ribosomal RNA", at positions 28 to 507 of the family's 1533-position model. The record is from RNAcentral.